Long non-coding RNA from Thalassophryne amazonica, 129 nucleotides. RefSeq lists it as uncharacterized. Lineage: Eukaryota; Metazoa; Chordata; Actinopteri; Batrachoidiformes; Batrachoididae. The record is from RefSeq and is a predicted model, not a curated record. The transcript is spliced from 3 exons.
AAAAGCAUGUUAUUCAUUCACAGCGCCUCAUUCACUCGUGUCAGCGUUUAACACAGACAUCAGUCAACUCUUCAGCAUUCUACACGUGAUGAAAAUAAAUCCCAUGAUCCACCAAGACAAAAAUUUAAU